AGUGAACGCUGGCGGUAGGCCUAACACAUGCAAGUCGAACGGCAGCACAGUAAGAGCUUGCUCUUACGGGUGGCGAGUGGCGGACGGGUGAGGAAUACAUCGGAAUCUACUUUUUCGUGGGGGAUAACGUAGGGAAACUUACGCUAAUACCGCAUACGACCUACGGGUGAAAGCAGGGGAUCUUCGGACCUUGCGCGAUUGAAUGAGCCGAUGUCGGAUUAGCUAGUUGGCGGGGUAAAGGCCCACCAAGGCGACGACCCGUAGCUGGUCUGAGAGGAUGAUCAGCCACACUGGAACUGAGACACGGUCCAGACUCCUACGGGAGGCAGCAGUGGGGAAUAUUGGACAAUGGGCGCAAGCCUGAUCCAGCCAUACCGCGUGGGUGAAGAAGGCCUUCGGGUUGUAAAGCCCUUUUGUUGGGGAAGAAAAGCAGCAGGUUAAUACCCCGCUGUUCUGACGGUACCCAAAGAAUAAGCACCGGCUAACUUCGUG
Molecule: ribosomal RNA, 492 nt
Filed under: uncultured bacterium
Lineage: Bacteria
Description: partial 16S ribosomal RNA
Rfam family: Bacterial small subunit ribosomal RNA
Source: RNAcentral